AUCACUUCUCGGCCCUUUGACUAAGAUCAAGUGUACUAUCUGGUCUUACCAGUUUAAAGUACUAAUUUAAAGCUCCCCUGGGGCGCCUGGGUGGCGCAGUCGGUUAAGCGUCCGACUUCAGCCAGGUCACGAUCUCGCGGUCCGUGAGUUCGAGCCCCGCGUCAGGCUCUGGGCUGAUGGCUCAGAGCCU
Felis catus (domestic cat) is the source of this 190-nucleotide small nuclear RNA. RefSeq annotates it as U2 spliceosomal RNA. The record is from RefSeq and is a predicted model, not a curated record. Lineage: Eukaryota; Metazoa; Chordata; Mammalia; Carnivora; Felidae. The transcript has a single exon.